This 608-nucleotide unclassified non-coding RNA is filed under the name Hevea brasiliensis (rubber tree). Lineage: Eukaryota; Viridiplantae; Streptophyta; Magnoliopsida; Malpighiales; Euphorbiaceae. The record is from RNAcentral.
GUUCAUUGAACAGCCUUACAAAGGCAAGGACGAAUUUACAUAGUUUAGUUGAGCCAACCAAUUACAGCGGAGGUUAGAGUCAUGUAAAAAUUUGGUGGCCAUUACGUGAGCUGCUUUAUUGCAAACUCUAUGAACAGCAGAAAAAUAGACAUAUUCACAAGUGGAAGAUAACUCUAAAACAUCAAGAAGAAUUCCAUGGACAACUGUCGGUGAUAUUUCAGUGCGGAGGCCAUCAAUUACCACUGAAGAGUCACCUUCCAAGAUUACUUUUUGAAGACCAGCAGUAGAGGCUAGCAGCGCAGCUUCUCUAAUUGCUAAGCUAUCCAAGAUCAGAAGGUCUUAAAUAGAAUUCCAUAGUUUACAUCUCAAGUCCAGAAUUUUUCCGUAAUGAUCACGCACAAUAACUGCAGUUGCUCCUCUAUUGUUCUGUUUAUCUAUUGCAGCAUCACAGUUUAUCUUAUUCACACUCGCUGAGGUGAACACCAAGACGGGAGCCGAUGCUAACUGAGAAGAAUGAGAAGAUUCUAUUGAUAUGGUUGAUUGAAAAUCUUCUUGAUAUUUUAAAGCACUUGAUAUAACUUCUUGCCAAUUCUGCCUUUUUUUUUUCA